Molecule: ribosomal RNA, 1436 nt
Filed under: uncultured organism
Description: 16S ribosomal RNA
Rfam family: Bacterial small subunit ribosomal RNA
Source: RNAcentral
CGACAGGCUUAACACAUGCAAGUCGAGGGGCAGCACAGGUAGUAAUACCGGGUGGCGACCGGCGCACGGGUGAGUAACGCGUAUGCAACUUACCUAUCAGAGGGGGAUAACCCGGCGAAAGUCGGACUAAUACCGCAUGAAGCAGGGGCCCCGCAUGGGGAUAUUUGCUAAAGAUUCAUCGCUGAUAGAUAGGCAUGCGUUCCAUUAGGCAGUUGGCGGGGUAACGGCCCACCAAACCGACGAUGGAUAGGGGUUCUGAGAGGAAGGUCCCCCACAUUGGUACUGAGACACGGACCAAACUCCUACGGGAGGCAGCAGUGAGGAAUAUUGGUCAAUGGCCGAGAGGCUGAACCAGCCAAGUCGCGUGAGGGAUGAAGGUUCUAUGGAUCGUAAACCUCUUUUAUAAGGGAAUAAAGUGCGGGACGUGUCCCGUUUUGUAUGUACCUUAUGAAUAAGGAUCGGCUAACUCCGUGCCAGCAGCCGCGGUAAUACGGAGGAUCCGAGCGUUAUCCGGAUUUAUUGGGUUUAAAGGGUGCGUAGGCGGCCUUUUAAGUCAGCGGUGAAAGUCUGUGGCUCAACCAUAGAAUUGCCGUUGAAACUGGGGGGCUUGAGUAUGUUUGAGGCAGGCGGAAUGCGUGGUGUAGCGGUGAAAUGCAUAGAUAUCACGCAGAACCCCGAUUGCGAAGGCAGCCUGCCAAGCCAUGACUGACGCUGAUGCACGAAAGCGUGGGGAUCAAACAGGAUUAGAUACCCUGGUAGUCCACGCAGUAAACGAUGAUCACUAGCUGUUUGCGAUACACUGUAAGCGGCACAGCGAAAGCGUUAAGUGAUCCACCUGGGGAGUACGCCGGCAACGGUGAAACUCAAAGGAAUUGACGGGGGCCCGCACAAGCGGAGGAACAUGUGGUUUAAUUCGAUGAUACGCAAGGAACCUUACCCGGGUUUGAACGCAUUCGGACCGAGGUGGAAACACCUUUUCUAGCAAUAGCCGUUUGCGAGGUGCUGCAUGGUUGUCGUCAGCUCGUGCCGUGAGGUGUCGGCUUAAGUGCCAUAACGAGCGCAACCCUUGCCACUAGUUACUAACAGGUGAUGCUGAGGACUCUGGUGGGACUGCCAGCGUAAGCUGCGAGGAAGGCGGGGAUGACGUCAAAUCAGCACGGCCCUUACAUCCGGGGCGACACACGUGUUACAAUGGCGUGGACAAAGGGAGGCCACCUGGCGACAGGGAGCGAAUCCCCAAACCACGUCUCAGUUCGGAUCGGAGUCUGCAACCCGACUCCGUGAAGCUGGAUUCGCUAGUAAUCGCGCAUCAGCCAUGGCGCGGUGAAUACGUUCCCGGGCCUUGUACACACCGCCCGUCAAGCCAUGGGAGCCGGGGGUACCUGAAGUACGUAACCGCAAGGAGCGUCCUAGGGUAAAACUGGUGACUGGGGCUA